Molecule: ribosomal RNA, 253 nt
Filed under: uncultured bacterium
Lineage: Bacteria
Description: partial 16S ribosomal RNA
Rfam family: Bacterial small subunit ribosomal RNA
Source: RNAcentral
UACGUAGGUGGCAAGCGUUAUCCGGAUUUAUUGGGCGUAAAGGGAACGCAGGCGGUCUUUUAAGUCUGAUGUGAAAGCCUUCGGCUUAACCGGAGUAGUGCACUGGAAACUGGGAGACUUGAGUGCAGAAGAGGAGAGUGGAACUCCAUGUGUAGCGGUGAAAUGCGUAGAUAUAUGGAAGAACACCAGUGGCGAAAGCGGCUCUCUGGUCUGUAACUGACACUGAGGCUCGAAAGCGUGGGUAGCAAACAGG